RNAcentral lists this ribosomal RNA (1967 nucleotides) under human gut metagenome. Its description in RNAcentral is "bacterial LSU rRNA". It matches the Rfam family "Bacterial large subunit ribosomal RNA", at positions 3 to 1987 of the family's 2925-position model. The record is from RNAcentral.
UCAAGCUACUAAGGGCAUACGGUGAAUGCCUUGGCACUAAGAGCCGAUGAAGGACGUGGUAAGCUGCGAAAAGCUACGGGGAGCCGCAAGCAGGCUUUGAUCCGUAGAUGUCCGAAUGGGGAAACCCACCAUCCGUCAUGGGAUGGUAUCCUUCGGGAGGGGAACCCGGUGAACUGAAACAUCUAAGUAGCCGGAGGAAGAGAAAUCAAACGAGAUGCCCACAGUAGCGGCGAGCGAAGAGGGCAGAGCCUAAACCAGAGAGCUUCGGCUCCCUGGGGUUACGGACUGGCAUAAACCGAGUCAGGCCUAGCCGAAUCACCUGGAAAGGUGAGCCACAGACCGUGAGAGCCGGGUAGGCGAAAGGCAGAGCAAGGGGGCCAGUAUCCAGAGUACCGCGAAGCACGAGGAAUUUUGCGGGAAGUCGGGGGGACCACCCUCCAAGGCUAAACACUUCUUAGUGACCGAUAGCGCAUAGUACCGUGAGGGAAAGGUGAAAAGAACCGCGGGAGCGGAGUGAAAGAGAACCUGAAACCGUAUGUCUACAAGCAGUCGGAGCGCAAGCGACGGCGUGCCUAUUGAAGAAUGAGCCAACGAGUUACGGGCACCAGCGAGGUUAAGCAGGAAAUGCGGAGCCGUAGGGAAACCGAGUCUGAAAAGGGCGAAUAGUUGGUGUUCGUAGACCCGAAACUGUAGUGAUCUACCCAUGAUCAGGUUGAAGCACGGGUAAAAUCGUGUGGAGGACCGAACCGGUGAGUGUUGAAAAACUUUCGGAUGAAUCGUGGGUAGCGGUGAAAUUCCAAUCGAACGCAGAGAUAGCUGGUUCUCCUCGAAAUAGCUUUAGGGCUAGCCUCAGGCAGUAAGCAUAGGCGGUAGAGCACUGAUCGGGAUAGGGACUGUAAUGGUUACCGAACCCUGUCAAACUACGAAUGGUUAUGCUGCAGAGCCUGGGAGUCAGACUACGAGAGAUAAGUCCCGUUGUCAAAAGGGAAACAGCCCAGACCAUCAGCUAAGGUCCCCAAUGCCAUACUAAGUGGAAAAGGAUGUGGGGUCUCAUAAACAACCAGGAUGUUGGCUCAGAAGCAGCCACCAUUUAAAGAGUGCGUAAUAGCUCACUGGUCGAGAGGCCCUGCGCCGAAGAUUCCCGGGGCUAAAGUAUGGAACCGAAGCUAUGGAUGCAUACUUAGGUAUGCGUGGUAGAGGAGCGUUCCCAUCGGGUUGAAGUCGUCCUGUAAGGGACGGUGGACUGGUGGGAAGUGAGAAUGUUGGCAUGAGUAGCGAAAAGAAUGGUGAGAAUCCAUUCCACCGAAAGCAUAAGGAUUCCUGAGCAACGAUCGUCGUCUCAGGGUAAGUCGGGACCUAAUCCGAGGCAAAGAGCGUAGGAGAUGGACAACUGGUUGAUAUUCCAGUACCGGCAGUGAUCGUUUGAACGAAGGAGUGACGCAGGAAGGCAGGUCCGCACGAGAUUGGUAGAUCGUGUGCAAGCGUGCAGGCUGGUUACCAGGCAAAUCCGGUAACUGAGGCUGAGGCGUGAUGCGGAGGGAACUUGUUCCCGAAGGGAUUGAGCCUACGCUGCCGAGAAAAGCUUCUAGUGAGAAAGCUGCCGCCCGUACCGUAAACCGACACAGGUAUGCGGGGAGAGAAUCCUAAGGUGCGCGGGAGAACCCUCGUUAAGGAACUCGGCAAAAUGUACCCGUAACUUCGGGAUAAGGGUAGCCACAAAGGUGAAGGGACUUGCUCCCGGAGCCCGGUGUGGUCGCAGAGAAGAGGCCCAAGCGACUGUUAACCAGAAACACAGGUGCCUGCGAAAGAGAAAUCUGAAGUAUAGGUGCUGACACCUGCCCAGUGCUGGAAGGUUAAAGAAGGAUGUCCGGGUUCGACCCAAAGCAUUCGACUGAAGCCCCAGUGAACGGCGGCCGUAACUAUAACGGUCCUAAGGUAGCGAAAUUCCUUGUCGGGUAAGUUCCGAC